UACGUAGGGGGCAAGCGUUAUCCGGAUUUACUGGGUGUAAAGGGAGCGUAGACGGCGGCGCAAGUCUGGAGUGAAAGCCCGUGGCCCAACCACGGGACUGCUCUGGAAACUGUGCGGCUGGAGUGCGGGAGGGGCAGGCGGAAUUCCUAGUGUAGCGGUGAAAUGCGUAGAUAUUAGGAGGAACACCGGCGGCGAAGGCGGCCUGCUGGACCGUGACUGACGUUGAGGCUCGAAAGCGUGGGGAGCAAACAGG
This 253-nucleotide ribosomal RNA is filed under the name uncultured bacterium. RNAcentral's name for it is "partial 16S ribosomal RNA". It matches the Rfam family "Bacterial small subunit ribosomal RNA", at positions 524 to 776 of the family's 1533-position model. The record is from RNAcentral.